CCGGCACGGGUGAGUAACGCGUAUGCAACUUACCUAUCAGGAGGGGAUAACCCGGCGAAAGUCGGACUAAUACCGCAUGAAGCAGGAGCCCCGCAUGGGGAUAUUUGCUAAAGAUUCAUCGCUGAUAGAUAGGCAUGCGUUCCAUUAGGCAGUUGGCGGGGUAACGGCCCACCAAACCGACGAUGGAUAGGGGUUCUGAGAGGAAGGUCCCCCACAUUGGUACUGAGACACGGACCAA
This 238-nucleotide ribosomal RNA is filed under the name uncultured bacterium. RNAcentral describes it as "partial 16S ribosomal RNA". It matches the Rfam family "Bacterial small subunit ribosomal RNA", at positions 100 to 334 of the family's 1533-position model. The record is from RNAcentral.